RNAcentral lists this ribosomal RNA (440 nucleotides) under uncultured bacterium. RNAcentral describes it as "partial 16S ribosomal RNA". It matches the Rfam family "Bacterial small subunit ribosomal RNA", at positions 338 to 795 of the family's 1533-position model. The record is from RNAcentral.
CCUACGGGUGGCAGCAGUGGGGAAUAUUGCACAAUGGGGGGAACCCUGAUGCAGCGACGCCGCGUGGGUGAAGGAGUACUUCGGUACGUAAAGCUCUAUCAGCAGGAAAGAAAAUGACGGUACCUGACUAAGAAGCCCCGGCUAACUACGUGCCAGCAGCAGCGGGAAUACGUAGGCGGCAAGCGUUAUCCGGAUUUACUGGGUGGAAAGGGAGCGUAGUCGGCAGUGCAAGUCCGGAGUGAAAGCCCGGGGCUCAACCCUGGGACUGCUCUGGAAACUGCAAAGUUGGAGUGCGGGAGGGGCAGGCGGAAUGCAUGGUGUAGCGGUGAAAUGCGUAGAUAUCAGGAGGAACACCGACGGCGAAGGCGGCCUGCUGGACCGUAACUGACGUUGAGGCUCGAAAGCGUGGGGAGCAAACAGGAUUAGAUACCCUUGUAGUC